UAAUGUCUGGGAAACUGCCUGAUGGAGGGGGGUAACUACUGGAAACGGUAGCUAAUACCGCAUAAUGUCGCAAGACCAAAGUGGGGACCUUCGGGCCUCAUGCCAUCAGAUGUGCCCAGAUGGGAUUAGCUAGUAGGUGGGGUAACGGCUCACCUAGGCGACGAUCCCUAGCUGGUCUGAGAGGAUGACCAGCCACACUGGAACUGAGACACGGUCCAG
RNAcentral lists this ribosomal RNA (219 nucleotides) under uncultured bacterium. Its description in RNAcentral is "partial 16S ribosomal RNA". It matches the Rfam family "Bacterial small subunit ribosomal RNA", at positions 111 to 334 of the family's 1533-position model. The record is from RNAcentral.